Cyprinus carpio carpio is the source of this 598-nucleotide long non-coding RNA. NCBI's taxonomy places the organism in Eukaryota, Metazoa, Chordata, Actinopteri, Cypriniformes, Cyprinidae. The record is from Ensembl.
CUGAAGUCAGAUGAAUUCUUUACGUCUAAUGACCAAGUUCAUCUGGAGGCAGCGAUCAAAGCUCUUCAAUCUCAGGGUGAUGACCCCCCAGCGUGAAUCCAGAUAUGCAGCAAAACGAUUACGGCAGCACUGUCUCGUAUCCCAUUGACCCAGAAACUUCAUCCAAGCCAAUUAAGCUCUUGGCGGGAUCCCUCAGACUUGACAUUCAACAAAAAGACUUGCCACGGGUCAGCAGUUGCAUGCUGGACUAAAGGAAGCAACACAAUCAAUAAUCUCCACAAGUGCAGGUCAUUGAGGGCACUGAGCGUAUCCUCCAGACGUGGCAUGACUUUCAAAGGACUGGCAUGCCUGCCACCUGAAGGUCGCAGGUUCACUUUUCCUGGAACAAAGCAAAUGAAAAGGAGAAGAUCAGAGACUGUCGAUCAUGGCGUGAAGUCCUUGUUUAUGUCUCAACAAAACUGACAGCAGAGCAUCACUCCAAACUUGAACCUAGGUCAGCCCAACUAUAAAUAGCCGUCUGUGUGAUAACACAGCCUGAAUGUCUGGCCAGAUUUGAUAUUAACUGGUUUAAUGUCUGAUCCCUAUAGAGACAGGUAAA